UUAAAAGAAAGCACAAACCAAAUCCCCUGUACACAUAUACGGACUCAGAGGAUGAGUUUUUUUGUGGGGAAAGCCUACAAAAAAACGGUUUCCCCAGGCCCCUCGAGUGAAAAUACCAGCCCUCAUCACUCCGCAGUCUGCCCCCCAGCCCACUGAUAGCAACCAUCAUAAUGCCCCACCCAGCUUCCGGCACCUUUCGCCACUCCGGCACAAACCGACACAGCUUUGCGAUCUCGCCAGCAUGCA
Pelmatolapia mariae (spotted tilapia) is the source of this 246-nucleotide long non-coding RNA. RefSeq lists it as uncharacterized. Lineage: Eukaryota; Metazoa; Chordata; Actinopteri; Cichliformes; Cichlidae. The record is from RefSeq and is a predicted model, not a curated record. The transcript has 3 exons.